Molecule: transfer RNA, 70 nt
Filed under: Longitarsus exsoletus
Lineage: Eukaryota; Metazoa; Arthropoda; Insecta; Coleoptera; Chrysomelidae
Description: tRNA-Met
Rfam family: tRNA
About the family: Transfer RNA (tRNA) molecules are approximately 80 nucleotides in length. Their secondary structure includes four short double-helical elements and three loops (D, anti-codon, and T loops).
Source: RNAcentral
AAAAAGAUAAGCUAAAUUAAGCUUUUGGGUUCAUACCUCAUUUAUAAAGGUUUUAACCCUUUUCUUUUUA